This 465-nucleotide ribosomal RNA is filed under the name Clostridioides sp. ZZV15-6388. RNAcentral describes it as "bacterial SSU rRNA". It matches the Rfam family "Bacterial small subunit ribosomal RNA", at positions 338 to 795 of the family's 1533-position model. The record is from RNAcentral. Lineage: Bacteria; Bacillati; Bacillota; Clostridia; Peptostreptococcales; Peptostreptococcaceae.
CCUACGGGAGGCAGCAGUAGGGAAUCUUCGGCAAUGGGGGCAACCCUGACCGAGCAACGCCGCGUGAGUGAAGAAGGUUUUCGGAUCGUAAAGCUCUGUUGUAAGAGAAGAACGUGUGUGAGAGUGGAAAGUUCACACAGUGACGGUAACUUACCAGAAAGGGACGGCUAACUACGUGCCAGCAGCCGCGGUAAUACGUAGGUCCCGAGCGUUGUCCGGAUUUAUUGGGCGUAAAGCGAGCGCAGGCGGUUUAAUAAGUCUGAAGUUAAAGGCAGUGGCUUAACCAUUGUUCGCUUUGGAAACUGUUAGACUUGAGUGCAGAAGGGGAGAGUGGAAUUCCAUGUGUAGCGGUGAAAUGCGUAGAUAUAUGGAGGAACACCGGUGGCGAAAGCGGCUCUCUGGUCUGUAACUGACGCUGAGGCUCGAAAGUGUGGGUAUCAAACAGGAUUAGAUACCCCUGUAGUC